GGGAAACUGGGGAGAGGUCUGUAUUGUCUCCCCUCUCUCACUAGUGAUAAUCAUGGGAGGGAAACUGGGGAGAGGUCUGUAUUGUCUCCCCUCUCUCACUAGUGAUAAUCAUGGGAGGGAAGCUGGGGAGAGGUCUGUAUUGUCUCCCCUCUCUCACUAGUGAUAAUCAUGGGAGGGAAGCUGGGGAGAGGUCUGUAUUGUCUCCCCUCUCUCACUAGUGAUAAUCAUGGGAGGGAAGCUGGGGAGAGGUCUGUAUUGUCUCCCCUCUCCCACUAGUGAUAAUCAUGGGAGGGGAGCUGGGGAGAGGUCUGUAUUGUCUCCCCUCUCCCACUAGUGAUAAGCAUGGGA
Molecule: non-coding RNA, 348 nt
Organism: Pelobates cultripes (western spadefoot toad)
Lineage: Eukaryota; Metazoa; Chordata; Amphibia; Anura; Pelobatidae
Source: the annotation of a GenBank genome assembly